Oncorhynchus keta (chum salmon) is the source of this 992-nucleotide long non-coding RNA. RefSeq lists it as uncharacterized. Lineage: Eukaryota; Metazoa; Chordata; Actinopteri; Salmoniformes; Salmonidae. The record is from RefSeq and is a predicted model, not a curated record. The transcript has 2 exons.
AAAACUAUUUCAUAUAUUUUCGAAUAAGGCCGUAACGUAACAAAAUGUGGGGAAAAGUCAAGGGGUCUGAACACUUUCCAAAUGCUCUGUAUAUAUUUAUAGAAACAAUGUGAACAAAUGCUCUGAAUAUAAGGAACGUAACAAUACAUUAUGUAGAUGUAUAUAAUGAACAGACUAGGUCUAUACUGCUCCUACAUGGUGUAACAAUACAUCAUGUAUAUAAUGAACAGACUAGGUCUAUACUGCUCCUACAUGGUGUAACAAUACAUCAUGUAUAUAAUGAACAGACUAGGUCUAUACUGCUCCUACAUGGUGUAACAAUACAUCAUGUAUAUAAUGAACAGACUAGGUCUAUACUGCUCCUACAUGGUGUAACAAUACAUCAUGUAGAUGUAUAUAAUGAACAGACUAGGUCUAUACUGCUCCUACAUGGUGUAACAAUACAUCAUGUAGAUGUAUAUAAUGAACAGACUAGGUCUAUACUGCUCCUACAUGGUGUAACAUCAUGUAGAUGUAUAUAAUGAACAGACUAGGUCUAUACUGCUCCUACAUGGUGUAACAUCAUGUAGAUGUAUAUAAUGAACAGACUAGGUCUAUACUGCUCCUACAUGGUGUAACAAUACAUCAUGUAGAUAUAUAUAAUGAACAGACUAGGUCUAUACUGCUCCUACAUGGUGUAACAAUACAUCAUGUAGAUGUAUAUAAUGAACAGACUAGGUCUAUACUGCUCCUACAUGGUGUAACAUCAUGUAGAUGUAUAUAAUGAACAGACUAGGUCUAUACUGCUCCUACAUGGUGUAACAAUACAUCAUGUAGAUGUAUAUAAUGAACAGACUAGGUCUAUACUGCUCCUACAUGGUGUAACAAUACAUCAUGUAUAUAAUGAACAGACUAGGUCUAUACUGCUCCUACAUGGUGUAACAAUACAUCAUGUAUAUAAUGAACAGACUAGGUCUAUACUGCUCCUACAUGGUGUAACAAUACAUCAUGUA